GGGGAAUUAGCUCAGUUGGCUAGAGCGCCUGAUUUGCAUUCAGGAGGUCAUCGGUUCGACUCCGAUAUUCUCCA
Molecule: transfer RNA, 74 nt
Filed under: Neolewinella lacunae
Lineage: Bacteria; Pseudomonadati; Bacteroidota; Saprospiria; Saprospirales; Lewinellaceae
Rfam family: tRNA
About the family: Transfer RNA (tRNA) molecules are approximately 80 nucleotides in length. Their secondary structure includes four short double-helical elements and three loops (D, anti-codon, and T loops). Further hydrogen bonds mediate the characteristic L-shaped molecular structure. tRNAs have two regions of fundamental functional importance: the anti-codon, which is responsible for specific mRNA codon recognition, and the 3' end, to which the tRNAs corresponding amino acid is attached (by aminoacyl-tRNA synthetases). tRNAs cope with the degeneracy of the genetic code in two manners: having more than one tRNA (with a specific anti-codon) for a particular amino acid; and 'wobble' base-pairing, i.e. permitting non-standard base-pairing at the 3rd anti-codon position.
Source: Rfam by way of RNAcentral